UCCGCACCGGGCUAGAGGCGCCUCCCGGGGCUGCGGGUCCCCGAAGCGCCUUGGCCGCGGGGGCUGGCUGCGCUGUGGCGGGCACGGGAGCCUGGGAGGGAAGCGCGUCGGGGGCCGCGGAGGAAGGGCGCCUCCCUCCGCGGGGGCUGCAGCCUCCAAUUCUCCGGGGGGGGGGCGGAGGCCGUACUGGACUCCCGCCGCCUUCCUCCCUGCCCACAAGGCUGGCCACUAGUCUCCUUUCGUCCCCGUCCCCCGCCUGGUGAGUGCGUGGCUCAGGAGAGGGCCGCGCCGGGCCUCCUCGCCUCGAAGCGCCCCUCAGCUCCGCUGCUGCGCGCAGCUGUGCUUGCGCGCGCCUGUGCUGGCGGCAUGCUGGGCGCCCUCGACGGCUCUUGCGCUUGCCGAGCAGAGGCCCUUCCAGUCCCGGGGCAGCCCUCGCCAGCAGCCUGUCCUGCGGCUCAGAGCGCCUCUUCUAAUAAGUCGAGCAACCCGGACGCAGCUGCGCGCGCUGGCGGAUCUCGGACCCCAGCCGGAGCAGCCUCCUGCCCAGGAUCUUAGACGGCGCCUUCGGAAUUUUUGGUAGCUGGGACGCACUUCAGAAGUGAAAUGGGCGACACGCUUGCUUUUUUUCUUUUAGCAUGGAAGGGUAAAUAUUGGCCUCAUCAAAAGCACUUCACCGAUUUCUGUGUGAGUCUUUGAAAUGUGUCUCCUCAGAUACUGUUGUCAAGGCUAAGGCAGCAUCCCAUGUAGAGAUGCAACAGGCAGCGUCUUUUGACAGUAGUUGGAAUGUGCUGCUUGUUUUUGGUACCACUCUGUAAUAACCUUAAAUCUUUUGUUAAACCUUUGGCUUUGGACUAGGGUUGCCAGGUACCCUUACCCUCCAGGCAGGAGGUUAGACACCUGGCACUCACCUUACAGCAGUCCUCACACCUGCGCUCCCAGGGCUAUGUAAUGACAUCACUUCCAGAAACUGACAUCAUCUUGCAGGCCGCAUGCCAUUCCUGGGAGCUCUCCUGCACUCCGCAGCAGGCUGCUUUCAGCCACUAUAGGGGCAGCAUGACAGCCCGGGAGUGCUCCUGUGCUGCUCAGCAGACCGAUUUCAACCCGUUUCAGACUGAAAUCAGCCCACUGCAGUGUGUGGGAGCAUGCCGUGCCACCCAGGAGCACAUUCUCGGAGGCAUGUUCCCUCUCCUUUCCCCCCACUGGCCAAGUAAGCAGGAGCCGGGGGGGGGGUGAAGAGUAGGAGCAGGGGAUUCCCGUGCCCCCAGCGAGGUACUGGCAACCCUACUUUGGACCUAAAAUCCAUUCUUCCUUACAUUGCCUUAAACAUAUAACUCAAGAGGGCUCUGAUCCCACUCAAGGCUCCUUAUAUUUCCACUCACAUGGAACUUCAAGUGUUCUCUACUUUACCCAGGCUUAUACCUCAAGAACUCCCUUUUUUUGUUUGUGUGACCUUUAUAUUGCUACUUCUCUGACUCUCACAAAAGGUUUUCACUGCCAACAAAGGUUUUCACCUUAGACCUCCUUGGUUUAACUUGUAAUAUAGGAGGGCUUUGUUAUAGAUGAUAGUUUGACAGAAUGGUUAGCAUGUGAGGGUUUUUUAAAUCAAAAGUAGAGUUUAUAAGUACAUAAGUAUGAUUGAUACAGAGUAUUGAUAAGUAUAUCGGUUUCAGAAUAAAUCUUGGAAGCUUGGUGGUUUCAAAAAUAAUUGUAUCUUCUUAAAGGCACCCAGGGGAUUUCUGUCUCUGCUAGUGAAGGUUGCUUACAGAAAUGGAGAGACCACUGCUGAGAUUAGCAAGCUGAUAAACGAAAACCACAAUUAGAGAUUUUAUUUCCAUUGUGCUUAUUAGAAUCACAAAGCAGCAUUCAGCAAACCUUCCUAAUUCUGAAAGCCAUGUGCCAAAAAUAUUUCAGUGGUUGAGAGAAGAACUAGCCAUAGCAAGGCUGGAUUAACUAUUAUACUAAGUAAACUGUAAAAAAGAGACCCAAAUGGUGAUGAAGUCAUGUGUUCACACUGUCCUGUAUAAUUUCAAGGCUCUUUUUAAAAUGCUUUUAUAGCUAGGGUUGCCAACAGGUCUAGAGAAAAAUUAACUAUCCUUUGUUAAAAGGCUCAAUUUUGGAAACGGGUAGCUGAAUCUUUUGACGGCAUGGAGGUAAAUAACAGCCCAGUAAGUCCAUAUUAAAAGAACUGUUGUGUUUUUUUCCAAGCAGUUGACAUCUCCAGAUAGAGGAGGAAAGACUGUUUUGUGCAGUGCGAAUGGCCUGGAGAAAAGACUUAAGUGGAUGUUAUUUAUCAGGUGAUGUUAUUUCCCCUCAUGCCAUUAAAAGCUUCAGCUGUCCCUUUCAACACGUUUCUAUUUAAAGGGACAGGACAUUUUUUGCUAGGCUUUUCGGCAGCCCUGCUUACAAUACAGAAACAGCUUUGCACAAAAGAACUAAGGACAUCAAGUAAUAACAAGCGACUGUUUUCCUUUUGAUCCACUGGUGCUUGCACUAUUUGAAAAGCCUUGUUUGUGACAAUGAAUUGAUAACUACUUUUAACCUGGCCAAGAUCGGCAGUGCCCUAAAAUGGAAGAGGCUCUGUGUUCCUUUGAGAGCAUACAGGGUUAGUGGCUGGAGGAAUGCGCUCCUGUUAAUGGACAAGCAUGGCUGCUUGUAUGCCCAUGACUGCAACUUUUCUUGAUCACAGUUAAUUGUUAGAUUUUAAUAUAAACCAUCUCAAGUGUAUUGUGGAGAGACAGGAUAUAAAUAUUUUAAACACAUUUAGGGAGGUAGUAGUUUAUUGCAAUUAGCCAUUGGCUGUAGCAAUAUACAGUUGAUAAUGAUACCAUAAACUCCAAGAGCUACAAAAUAUCAAUGCAACUACAGCAAGUAAUACCCUAAAACCAUGUAAUAAAAUAUCUCUCCAGGUUCCCCACUGGUUGCCACAGUUGCUCUUAUCUUUCUUGCUGCAACUGCUAAUAGACUUAAUAAGACACUUCCGCAUCUGUGUUAGAUAGCAAUAUGGAGAGCCAGUUUGGUGUAGUGGUUAAGAGCGUGGGACUCUAAUCUGGAGAACUGGCUUUGUUUCCCCAUUGCUCUGCUUGAACCCAGCUGGGUGGCCGUGGGUCAGUCACAGCUUCUAGGAGCUCUCUCAGCCCCACCCACCUCACAGAGUGUUUUCUUGUGGGGAUAAUAGUAACAUACUUUGUAAACUGCUCUGAAGGGUGGUAUAUAAAUUGCAUGUUGUUACUUUCUUGACACACAUUUAAAGAAAUACAACCAGGGGAACCUGGGGUUCAAAUCUCCACUCUGCCAUGCAGUUAUCUGAGUGAGCCUGACUCAGUCACUCACUUAGCCCAACCUACCUUGGAGGGUUCUUGUGAGAAUAUAAUGAGGAAGGAAAUCAUGGAAGAAUUCUUAGAAAAAUUAAUGGGUAGAUUAGGCAAUACCAAGAGCCUGUAUUAACUUUGUUUUAUUGAUAAAAAUGAUGUUUUGAUAAACACAUUUUUAGAAGGAAAACCAGUGCUGCUGUCUUGAGGGAGAAACCAGCUAUGUGGAGAAAGCCACUAGGAAGGGUAAAAGAGCUAACUAGAGCUCUCACAUCCAGAAAAUCUUGUUCAGCCAUCCCAUGCACUUUGGAGAUCUCACCAAGCAAUGUCCACGAGCUUUCGAAGCACAUUUCUACACAUAUCAGGACAAGAAUCUGUCUGCUGGUGCUUUUUUUAGGGAAGCUGAGAUACUCAGUUUUAGGCACCACAAUUUAGACAAGCUGGAACAUGUCCAGAGGAGGGCAAUGAAGAUGGUGAGGAGUUUGGAGACCAAGUCCUAUGAGGAAAGGUUGAAGGAGCUUGGUAGCAGGACUCCAUUACCAGCCAGGGGCAUUCCUAUGGGCUGCCUGCUGGGGACAAGUGGCCCCGGAUGCCCUGGCCAACCAUGCGGGAGACACCCCCCCCACACACACGCCAGCCAAGGAGCCCUGGGACAGACAAGGGUCUGUGCUUCGAGGGCUUCAUGCGUGACUGUCCUCCCAUGGAGUGUGAUACGGGCUGGGAAGACGCCCUCCCGCUAACAAGUCAGCCGCAGCCCCGGAAGACUUGCAAGCCCCCGCCGAAGUAACUGACAGUUGAAGUCACGGGGAAACGACUUUUGGCUCUUUUGGACAGUGGAAGCUCCAUCUUCAUGAUACGGGACCGGUUGCUCCCAGCUGGACUACCAGUUGUCCGCACAGCUACAGUUGUCUGUUUCCAUGGCCACUCUGAGGACUACCCAGUGGUGAAGGUGCCCAUGAUGUAUGAGGGACAGCGCUGGAUGGUGGAACUGGCAAGAGUGACUGCCCUACCCUAUCCUGUACUCUUGGGGAGAGAUGUGCCCUGCUUUGCUCACCGCCUAUGGCAGGUUUCAGCUCCAUCAGAAGCCCUGCCGGUCAAAGAGCAGCCACAGGGAGGCCCUGCUCCUGCGGACGGUUGGAGCACCCUCAAAGCUUGGGAAACUGAUCCAGCUUUCAGAGAAGCCCAGGAAAUGGAUGCCACCCUGGGACAGCUGCAAGACAUAGUCGCAGAGCCAUUGUAGUAUUUGCAAUGCAACCUGUAAGAAUAUGACACUUGAAACAAGAAGACCAAAGAAGAAUGUAUGCUGAAACUCUGUAAGAACUGAGGACUAAACAAUAUACUGCUUGUAGAGAUGCACCUAUAGAAAUAUUACACAGAUGUUAUAUUAUCCUAUAGGAUUCCAAUAGGAAUCAAUACAAGAGAGCCUUUUGUAAAAACUGAUUAAUGUAGCAGGCUGGGUCAGCCACCUGUGGCAUUAUCUCUCUCAAGGCUGCAAAAGGGAGAGAGUGCAGAAGUGGGGGAACAAUCCUUCCUGCCCACGGACCUCAGUUAUCUGAAGGCCCCAAGGCUGCCAAGAUGAGACUUCAUGGCACCGGCGAAGGUAACAUUGGCAAAAGGGAGAUGGGCAAAGAGGAGGCAGAAGGUGUCCUUCCUAAGGGAACAGGCAGAAGGACAAGAUAAGGAACUGCAAAUUUUGGAAUUCCCCCUAGUAGGUAGCUGACCUAGCUUUGCGUCUUCCAAUCAAACUAACCCUAGACACCUGUGUCAAAAGACUAUGAGCCAAUAAGAUAACAAAUAUUAGAAUAUUGUAAUAUUAUUAUAAUUAACCUGAGGGUAUUAAUUGCUUUGCACUUCUAUUGUAGCCUUGAUGAGCUUUGCACACAAGGAGACCAUCUACUCCAGUGUAAACUGCUCCUCCAUUGUUUAAAUUAAACAAUCUAAUUUGCUUCAA
Molecule: long non-coding RNA, 5259 nt
Organism: Eublepharis macularius
Lineage: Eukaryota; Metazoa; Chordata; Lepidosauria; Squamata; Eublepharidae
Exons: 5
Source: RefSeq, a predicted model, not a curated record